CGAUACAUCAGUUUAGGUCGGCUGUUCCCAUCCGCAGGACGCUCUCUCUCCUUGCUUCACUCCAUUUAAAGGCUAAGAAAAGUCCUCUCUCUUCAUCCUCCGUCAAAGAAGUUUCUUAAUGUCAGUUCAAUUUGUAUUCCCUCCAUCUCGCUCCAUUUACAUGGAAGCUACUUUGAGAAAGGGAAUUUUGAAGAGAGUCAUAAAUUAAAGGCAUCGGGUGUUUGUGUUUUUCCAUAUGCACGGCAUGAAUGAUAAAAAGGGGCGUGAACACUAUUAUGAUGACCCUAUGGCCUCUUGCAAGAAUAUGA
Long non-coding RNA from Phalaenopsis equestris, 308 nucleotides. RefSeq lists it as uncharacterized. The transcript is spliced from 2 exons. The record is from RefSeq and is a predicted model, not a curated record. Lineage: Eukaryota; Viridiplantae; Streptophyta; Magnoliopsida; Asparagales; Orchidaceae.